AGUGAACGCUGGCGGCGUGCUUAACACAUGCAAGUCGAACGAGAACGGAUUAUAGCUUGCUAUAAUUGUCAGCUAAGUGGCGCACGGGUGAGUAAUGUAUAGGUAAUAUGCCUCUUACUAAGGGAUAACAAAUGGAAACGUUUGCUAAUACCUUAUACUCCUUAUUAACAGAAGUUAAUAAGGGAAAGAUUUAUUGGUAAGAGAUUAGCCUGUAUUGUAUCAGUUAGUUGGUGGGGUAAUGGCUUACCAAGACUAUGACACAUAACUGGUUUGAGAGGAUGAGCAGUCACACUGGAACUGAGACACGGUCCAGACUCCUACGGGAGGCAGCAGUGGGGAAUAUUGCACAAUGGACGAAAGUCUGACGCAGCAACGCCGCGUGGAGGAUGACACAUUUCGGUGCGUAAACUCCUUUUAUAUGAGAAGAUAAUGACGGUAUUAUAUGAAUAAGCACCGGCUAACUCCGUGCCAGCCGCCGCAGUAA
Molecule: ribosomal RNA, 484 nt
Filed under: uncultured bacterium
Lineage: Bacteria
Description: partial 16S ribosomal RNA
Rfam family: Bacterial small subunit ribosomal RNA
Source: RNAcentral